This is a non-coding RNA of Hordeum vulgare subsp. vulgare (domesticated barley), 88 nucleotides long. Lineage: Eukaryota; Viridiplantae; Streptophyta; Magnoliopsida; Poales; Poaceae. The record is from Rfam.
GGAGAGAUGGCUGAGUGGUUGAUAGCUCCGGUCUUGAAAACCGGUAUAGUUCUAGCAACUAUCGAGGGUUCGAAUCCCUCUCUCUCCU